UCUCUCCCCCCCUCUCUCUCUUCUGCCUUUCUCUCUCUCUCUAAACGCAAGCGCGUUCCUGGCGUUUAUACUCUGAAAUGUUCGCUCUGGUAGGAGGGAAACUCUGCUCUGACUUGCGUCAGGAAGCACAUAGAGGGAAGUUUAAAAGCUGUUUUUUUCUCUUGCAGCGAGCUGGAGGACUAGGAGGAGGGGACUCACUGCUAUUGUUCCUCCUGAAACAAUGAAAACUGCGGGGUGACAUGCAGCGGUGCGCACAUAAAUGGUCACCGACGUGGGGGGGUCAAUGGCCCUGGGGUCACCAUUCCCAGCGCCUUACAAUGCACCCCGCGCAAGGCUGGGGCUGCAAGGGUCAAAGGCCAGCUCCGCUUUUGUCCUGCACUUCAAAACACAUAAACAUUUAUUAAUCAAGAGCCCGGCGCUGGGCCCCCUUUGGUAGAGAAAAAAAAAAAAAAAGAAUGAGGGAGAAGAGGGGUGUAAGGAGGGGAAAGGGAGAAAUAACCACUGUAAGCAGAAGCACAUUCCAUCAUUUGGGCAGAAGUUUGAAAAAGUUGUAGCCACUGGUAGAAACCUUUGGAUUUUGUUUGCUGAACUUCUGCAUAAAGGAACCGAAUAUGUGUUGUUUCAGAAACAUUUUCAUCUUAACACGAAAGGAACAUAUGGGGGGCAGCCGAUUUUUUAAAAUGGAUUUUUGAAGAAAAUAACAAAGGAUGCAAGGAGCGCCACGGGAACCUUCUGCGGUUUAAAAAAGCGCAAAAACUGGAAUAAUCUCCGACAAGCCAGGAGUACUGUCUCUUUUAUUUUUCAUUUUAAGGGCCUUCCUCUGCAGCUUGAUCCUUUCAUCGAACGUUUAUCAAUUCUCUGUUUAUAUUUAGAUUCUUAAAAAAA
This is a long non-coding RNA of Cyprinodon tularosa, 885 nucleotides long. RefSeq lists it as uncharacterized. The record is from RefSeq and is a predicted model, not a curated record. The transcript is spliced from 2 exons. NCBI's taxonomy places the organism in Eukaryota, Metazoa, Chordata, Actinopteri, Cyprinodontiformes, Cyprinodontidae.